GACGAACGCUGGCGGCGUGCUUAACACAUGCAAGUCGAACGGAAAGGCCCUGCUUUUGUGGGGUGCUCGAGUGGCGAACGGGUGAGUAACACGUGAGUAACCUGCCCUUGACUUUGGGAUAACUUCAGGAAACUGGGGCUAAUACCGGAUAGGAGCUCCUGCUGCAUGGUGGGGGUUGGAAAGUUUCGGCGGUUGGGGAUGGACUCGCGGCUGAUCAGCUUGUUGGUGGGGUAGUGGCUUACCAAGGCUUUGACGGGUAGCCGGCCUGAGAGGGUGACCGGCAACAUUGGGACUGAGAUACGGCCCAGACUCCUACGGGAGGCAGCAGUGGGGAAUAUUGCACAAUGGGCGGAAGCCUGAUGCAGCAACGCCGCGUGCGGGAUGACGACCUUCGGGUUGUAAACCGUUUUCGCCUGUGACGAAGCGUGAGUGACGGUAAUGGGUAAAGAAGCACCGGCUAACUACGUG
RNAcentral lists this ribosomal RNA (468 nucleotides) under uncultured bacterium. RNAcentral's name for it is "partial 16S ribosomal RNA". It matches the Rfam family "Bacterial small subunit ribosomal RNA", at positions 28 to 507 of the family's 1533-position model. The record is from RNAcentral.